UACGUAGGGGGCAAGCGUUGUCCGGAAUCAUUGGGCGUAAAGAGCGUGUAGGCGGCUCGGUAAGUCCGCUGUGAAAGUCCAGGGCUCAACCCUGGAAUGCCGGUGGAAACUGUCGAGCUAGAGUCCGGAAGAGGCGAGUGGAAUUCCUGGUGUAGCGGUGAAAUGCGCAGAUAUCAGGAGGAACACCGGUGGCGAAGGCGGGUCUCUGGGCCGAUAUUGACGUGAGGAGCGAAAGCGUGGGGAGCGAACAGG
This 252-nucleotide ribosomal RNA is filed under the name uncultured bacterium. RNAcentral describes it as "partial 16S ribosomal RNA". It matches the Rfam family "Bacterial small subunit ribosomal RNA", at positions 524 to 776 of the family's 1533-position model. The record is from RNAcentral.